CGGACGGGUGAGUAAUGUCUGGGAAACUGCCCGAUGGAGGGGGGUAACUACUGGAAACGGUAGCUAAUACCGCAUAACGUCGCAAGACCAAAGAGGGGGACCUUCGGGCCUCUUGCCAUCGGAUGUGCCCAGAUGGGAUUAGCUAGUAGGUGGGGUAACGGCUCACCUAGGCGACGAUCCCUAGCUGGUCUGAGAGGAUGACCAGCCACACUGGGACUGAGACACGGCCCAG
RNAcentral lists this ribosomal RNA (232 nucleotides) under uncultured bacterium. Its description in RNAcentral is "partial 16S ribosomal RNA". It matches the Rfam family "Bacterial small subunit ribosomal RNA", at positions 99 to 334 of the family's 1533-position model. The record is from RNAcentral.